GACGAACGCUGGCGGCAUGCUUAACACAUGCAAGUCGAACGGAAAGUCCCUGCUUUUGUGGGGUGCUCGAGUGGCGAACGGGUAAGUAACACGUGAGUACCCUGCACUUGACUUUGGGGUAUCUUAAUGCAACUGGGGCUAAUCCGGCAUAGGAGCUCUUGCUGCAUGAUGGGCGUGGGAUGGUUUCGGCGGUUGGGGAUGGAAUGGCGUAUUAUGAGCUUGUUGGUGGGGUAGUGGCUUACCAUGGCUUUGAAGGGUGGCAGGCCUGAGCGGGUAACCGGCCACAUUGCGACUGAGAUGCGGCCCAGACUCCUACGGGAGGCAGCAGAGGGGAAUAUUGUACAAUGGGCGGAAGCCUGAUGCAGCAACGCCGCGUGCGGGAUGACGGCCUUCGGGUUGUAAACCGCUUUCGCCUGUGACGAAGCGUGAGUGACGGUAAUGGGUAAAGAAGCACCGGCUAACUACGUG
This 468-nucleotide ribosomal RNA is filed under the name uncultured bacterium. Its description in RNAcentral is "partial 16S ribosomal RNA". It matches the Rfam family "Bacterial small subunit ribosomal RNA", at positions 28 to 507 of the family's 1533-position model. The record is from RNAcentral.